GACGAACGCUGGCGGCGUGCUUAACACAUGCAAGUCGUACGGUAAGGCCCUUUCGGGGGUACACGAGUGGCGAACGGGUGAGUAACACGUGAGUAACCUGCCCACAACUUUGGGAUAACGCUAGGAAACUGGUGCUAAUACUGGAUAUGUGCUCCUGCUGCAUGGUGGGGGUUGGAAAGCUCCGGCGGUUGUGGAUGGACUCGCGGCCUAUCAGCUUGUUGGUGGGGUAGUGGCCUACCAAGGCGGCGACGGGUAGCCGGCCUGAGAGGGUGACCGGCCACAUUGGGACUGAGAUACGGCCCAGACUCCUACGGGAGGCAACAGUGGGGAAUAUUGCACAAUGGGCGCAAGCCUGAUGCAGCAACGCCGCGUGCGGGAUGACGGCCUUCGGGUUGUAAACCGCUUUCAGCAGGGACGAAGCUUUUUGUGACGGUACCUGCAGAAGAAGCACCGGCUAACUACGUG
RNAcentral lists this ribosomal RNA (465 nucleotides) under uncultured bacterium. RNAcentral describes it as "partial 16S ribosomal RNA". It matches the Rfam family "Bacterial small subunit ribosomal RNA", at positions 28 to 507 of the family's 1533-position model. The record is from RNAcentral.